This 559-nucleotide long non-coding RNA is filed under the name Gallus gallus (chicken). Lineage: Eukaryota; Metazoa; Chordata; Aves; Galliformes; Phasianidae. The record is from RNAcentral.
AGAGGUUCUUAUAGUCAAGAUUACCAGAGACAUCUGGAGGGAAAGCAGCAAACAUCUGGUUGAUCUCUUCUUGACUGAACCGGUCUGCUUGUGUCAUAAGCAUUUCUUUGAUGUAGUCUGCCUUUAUGUGGCCUUUUCCUUCUGGGUCGAAAAUCUUAAAAGCAUUCAGAAUGGUUUCUUCUGGGUCCGUGCCUUUCAGUUUUUCCCCAAACAUUGUAAGAAAGACAGUGAAGUUAAUGGGACCUGGCGCCUCCUUCACCAUGUCUUCUAGCUCUUCAUUCUUGACAUUCAGACGACCCAGUGCAGCAAAUGUGUCUCUCAAGUCUGCUUUAUCAAUAAAGCCAUCCCUGUUCUGAUCCAUGAUGGUAAAUGCCUUCUUCUUUGCCUUUUUUGGAGCCAUGCUGCUGCUUCUCCUCCUGUCCUUUCUCUGCCAACUAGUCAGCCAGCAAACACAAUGCCAAUUGCCUCUUUAUAUAGUGUCACCAAGGAAUAAAAAUAUGUCUGCUCCAAGUUUAGACAAUAGAUGUAAGAUUGGAAAAGUGCAGUAAUUGGAUCCCAA